This 423-nucleotide ribosomal RNA is filed under the name uncultured bacterium. Its description in RNAcentral is "bacterial SSU rRNA". It matches the Rfam family "Bacterial small subunit ribosomal RNA", at positions 207 to 622 of the family's 1533-position model. The record is from RNAcentral.
AAGACCUUGCGCUUUUGGAGCGGCCGAUGUCUGAUUAGCUAGUUGGUGGGGUAAUGGCCUACCAAAGCUUCGAUCAGUAGCUGGUCUGAGAGGACGGCCAGCCACACUGGGACUGAGACACGGCCCAGACUCCUACGGGAGGCAGCAGUGGGGAAUUUUGGACAAUGGGCGCAAGCCUGAUCCAGCCAUGCCGCGUGAGUGAAGAAGGCCUUCGGGUUGUAAAGCUCUUUCAGCCGGGAAGAAAAGGUUGCGAUUAAUAAUCGCAAUUUAUGACGGUACCGGAAGAAGAAGCACCGGCUAACUACGUGCCAGCAGCCGCGGUAAUACGUAGGGUGCGAGCGUUAAUCGGAAUUACUGGGCGUAAAGGGUGCGCAGGCGGUUUUGUAAGUCAGAUGUGAAAUCCCCGGGCUUAACCUGGGAACU